GAGAGCUAGCUUCAUGCUUCGGGGAAAAAAAAGAUAGAGAAUUGGGAUUUUUUUUUCAUAGGAUUUUGGAAAGACUGAGGCAAUCGUUGCUGAAAGUCAGUGUUGUACUAGUGAAUUGAGAUUUUUAAUGAAGUGGGUGUGAUUACUCUUGACUGUUUUUUGAAAUCGAAGUUACGUCUGUGAUUGAAGAAUUAAAAGGGUGUCUAUAGGAUUGAGUAUGCGGAGUGAAUAAAAUUUUUUGGAUUAAUCUAACAAAACAGUCAGUGGAUAAAAGGUCGUGAGUAUAAAGCGAUAUCGGAGAUUAGUAGAUUGGGUUGUUUGGGGUUCUCUGUAACGUCAAGAGACCUACCG
This 351-nucleotide long non-coding RNA is filed under the name Physcomitrium patens. Its description in RNAcentral is "long non-coding RNA (PPAT_LNC002760)". Lineage: Eukaryota; Viridiplantae; Streptophyta; Bryopsida; Funariales; Funariaceae. The record is from RNAcentral.